RNA transcript from Zingiber officinale, 1372 nucleotides. RefSeq lists it as uncharacterized. The record is from RefSeq and is a predicted model, not a curated record. The transcript has 3 exons. NCBI's taxonomy places the organism in Eukaryota, Viridiplantae, Streptophyta, Magnoliopsida, Zingiberales, Zingiberaceae.
UCUUGCGAGCCCUUACCCGGGGCUCGUGGAGGUGGGCUCUUUCCGGGCCCACCCCAUUGAUACGGCUACCCUACCCUAGCCUUCCGCUCGGCUCCCGCUCCUCUAAUAGCUUCCUCUGCUGCGCCGCCCACUCCCUUCUUCUUCUUCUUCUUCUUCUUCUUCAUGGCGGCGGCGAGUAUGAUGCUUCUUCCCCUUCCUCUGUUCUAUUGGGAUUUCAAUCUCCAACCAUUUCUUCUGGUAUGAUGCAAACUAGCCAAAUCAGACAUCAUGGGCUUCUGAUCCAUGCGCCGUCUCUCUCAUUUCGCUGCUUUUGGUGGAAACUCCUCGUUUUCGUAGUGAGUUUUUGCUGAGCGGACGGUGAGAAGACGUUGGUCGAAGCACUUGACUUCUCUGAUGAUAAAACUGCGAGAUCGAAGUUGCUGAAGUGCUUCCGUUUAUGGAAUCGGAUCUGAGGAAGAUCUCAUUGAAUGUGGUCGAUAAAGCUGACGAGACCUGCAAUUCUCAUUCGGUUGGUGCUUUUUGCCAUGCACAAUUCUCCUCCAAAAACGUUAAUGGUGAGGACAGUUAUCUCUAUAAAUUAUCAGGAAAUACUUGAGAUACAUAGCAAUAUAACUGUGCUGAAAAAACAUAUAAAGACAGAAUGAAAAACCCCCCAAAUUGUAGCUGUCGUCGAGAUCAGUGCUGCAGUAGCCGGCUAAGAUGCCACCUUUGUCGAACUGGAAGGGGAACUCGCUGGCCUCUAUCGCCGCCACCGACACUGGCUGGUGGGCCACAGCCUUGCGGAGCGAUACUUUGUCGUUGGCUGGCAUAUCCUCAUACCCACUGAUGGCGGCGGCGGAGGGGAGGAUUUCUGCUCGCUGCAGGUGCCUGGUACGGGCCGCCGUUGCUACACAUUGUCCAUGAGGCCGUUGUUCCAGCCAUAGUCCUUGCCGUGGACGGCGCAGUCCAUCGGUCCUGCUCGGAGAGGGAGAUCAACUCGCCGGAUGUGAGCACCUCCAUGGCUGACACUGCAGAGAACGCCCAGCCACAUCCUGUUUUGCUCGUGCAAACGCAGAUUCAGUUCGAUCAAUGAUAAUUAACUAAAUUGUGCCUCCAAAUCAUGCAUACCACACUGCCCCUGAUCUUCGACUGGAGUGACUGUUCCUUCGGAACACUAGUCGCCGUUACUUCACUAGAUGAAGAACUUGAAUGUCUUAUGGUAGUUACUCUGUUCCACACUAGUCAACUCAACCUCGCCCGAGAAUAAGAAUUUCUAAUAUAUGUCAUUUAUGAUAUCAGGCGAUGGGAUCUAUGACUCCGCUCCUUUAUAGUACGUUGAGACUUCUGUGUAAUUUUAGUAAUCAUAUUCAUUAUUGUUAAAUUGAAGAGGAAA